CAAUGGCCUAACGGCUGAACCAGCAACUUGCAGGAAUGAGAGUUAAUAUAAAUGAUUUAUUAACUUGCUUGACUAGGUCUUAUAAAGUUCUGGAUAAAGCUGAUAAUGACAACUUUAUAUCCAUAGGUCUCGACUAAAUCUUGUGCCAGCAGUCGCGGUAAGACAAGGGAGACGAGUGUUAUUCAUCUUGAACAGGUAUAUUGGGUACCUAGACUGUGUAUGAAGGCUUUUAUAGUACCUACUACACUAGAGUUUAAUAUGUGAGAGGAAGAUGUCAGAAUUAUUGGAGUAGAGAUGAAAUCCUUUAAUACUAAUAGGACUGAUAAUGGCGAAGGCAAACCUCUAUGUAUAUGUACUUUCACUCAAACAAGAUUUAAACAAUAAAAGGAGUUAAGAGCUGAUAUUAGUUAGAUUCAUAUAUACAGCAGUAGUAAAGUACUAAACUGACGUUGAGGGACGAAGGCUCAGAGAGUGAAGAGGAUUAGAUACCCCCGUAGCCUGGGCAGACAAUGAUGAGUGCCAUAGGUUGGCUUUUAGUUGAACUAUAAAUGAAAGUGGAAGCACUCCACCUCAAGAGUAAUGUGGCAACGCAGGAACUGAAAUCAUUAGACCGUUUCUGAAACCAGUAGUGAAGUAUGUUAUUUAAUUCGAUGAUCCGCGAAUAACCUUACCACAAUUUGAAUGCUCUAGAUUAGAAUAUAAACACAAGAAAGGGCAUGACGUUAGGAUAGUUAUCUUUUGUCCUUUCUUGUGUUAUUUAGACCACAUGCGUUGCAUGGCUGUCUUCAGUUAAUGUCGUGAGAUUUGGUUAGGUCCAUUAAAUUAACGUAAACCCUUGUUUUAUUUAAUAUAAUAAGGCAGCUCUCCGCUUACAAUUGGAUUGAUAACAGGGACUAAGACAAGUCAUCAUGGCCUUAAUAUUGUGGGCUAUAGACGUGCCAC
Molecule: ribosomal RNA, 942 nt
Filed under: Sporormyces septenarius
Lineage: Eukaryota; Fungi; Ascomycota; Dothideomycetes; Pleosporales; Sporormiaceae
Description: mitochondrial SSU rRNA
Rfam family: Bacterial small subunit ribosomal RNA
Source: RNAcentral